Non-coding RNA from Phascolarctos cinereus (koala), 1462 nucleotides. NCBI's taxonomy places the organism in Eukaryota, Metazoa, Chordata, Mammalia, Diprotodontia, Phascolarctidae. The record is from the annotation of a RefSeq genome assembly.
GCAAGUCACUUAGCCUUUAUCUGACUCAGUUUCCUUGCUUGUAAAAUGAGGAUCAUGACAGCAUCUACCACCCGGAGUUGCUGUGUUGAUAAAAUAACAUAGUAUUUGUAAAGUACUUUGCAAACCUUAGAGUGCCAUGUAAGUGCUAGCAUAUAAUGAAUCCAAAUUCUCUCUCUCUCUCUCUCUCUCUCUCUCUCUCUCUCUCUCUCUAGCUAGGAAGAGUUCUCUAACAGAGGUAUUAUUAUCUCCUGGACACUGGGACAUUAUGACAUUAUGAUAAUCAAUAAAUCCUUACAUUGUAAACUGAUUACACUGAUUGUGUUUAUGCAAUCAAUAAACCCUUGCACUGGGAAUAGACCAAGAAAAAAAACAGCUUCUGUCCUCAAGGACCUUAUAUUAUAAAAAUGUGAAAAAGCAUGACAUAUUUAUAUUGGACUUUGUGGUAACAAAAAGAUUCAUAAAUACUAUGUGCCAUUAGAUUGCCACAACAAUUCAAAGAGAUAUGUAGUAUUUGAAGAAGGGAAAGUGAUUCUGGAUUUGUGGAGAAAAUACUGACCUUCCUGACCCUUAAUAGCUGCGAUAAGGGCAAGAGUUGGUAUCAGCUGUUGUAACAGCAACGCUAAGUGAAGUGAUGCAGAAUUCCAGCAGAGGGCAGAAGAGAGCUUCUUUAGCAUUCUCUCCACGGAGAGAAAAAGAUCUGGCAUUUCAGCUGACCCUCAGUUUCUCCUUUGAGGAAAGAGUGCAGUCAGUUCCAGAAGAUGCUGAGUCUUCUAUUGCUUCUAGGACCCAGUUCUGGGCUUGGUGCUCUCAUCUCUCAGCAACCAAGUAGAGCCAUCUGGAAGAAGGGAUCUUCUGCACUGAUCCACUGUCAUCAGAUUGAUAGCCAAUUAACCUUCAUGUACUGGUAUCGUCAGCUUCCUCAACAGAGCUUGGUACUGAUGGCUACUGCGAAUCAGGGCACCCCAAGCAACUAUGAGGAGGGUUUUAAUAAGGACAAGUUCCCCAUCAGUCGUCCAGAUACAAAAUCCUCUACUCUGGAAGUAAUUGAUUUGGGUCCCAAAGACAGUGGCAUUUAUUUCUGCAGUGCCAGUGACACAGAAUGUGACUUGAAUCAGAGACCAGAACAAGAACCAUUCCUUUUUCUCUUUCUCACAGCUGGCCUAUGUGGGGGCCCUGAAGAAGGUAGCAAACUGAAGUUUUGGCUAAGACAGAGUAUACUGGAGAAUUAUCAGAUGAGGUGGGGUAGGUGAUCUUAAAUCAUCUAAUGAAAAGAGAAACAGGCAGGGUAACAUAUUGCAAGAGACUCUUGGAAAGACCAUGGAGGACUUCUUGGGAUCUGACAUUAAAUAUACCUUCCAGGAGAAGGCUAAGAAACAAACACUAUACAAUUCCUCAAGAGAUACAUGGUAAAAAGAUAUGAAUGAUUUCCAAAAGAAUAAUUGCAACCUAACAGGAGCCUUAU